This 460-nucleotide ribosomal RNA is filed under the name uncultured bacterium. RNAcentral describes it as "partial 16S ribosomal RNA". It matches the Rfam family "Bacterial small subunit ribosomal RNA", at positions 338 to 795 of the family's 1533-position model. The record is from RNAcentral.
CCUACGGGAGGCAGCAGUGAGGAAUAUUGGUCAAUGGACGAGAGUCUGAACCAGCCAAGUAGCGUGAAGGAUGACGGCCCUAUGGGUUGUAAACUUCUUUUAUAUGGGAAUAAAAUGUUCCACGUGUGGGGUUUUGUAUGUACCAUAUGAAUAAGGAUCGGCUAACUCCGUGCCAGCAGCCGCGGUAAUACGGAGGAUCCGAGCGUUAUCCGGAUUUAUUGGGUUUAAAGGGAGCGUAGGUGGAUUGUUAAGUCAGUUGUGAAAGUUUGCGGCUCAACCGUAAAAUUGCAAUUGAUACUGGCAGUCUUGAGUACAGUUGAGGUAGGCGGAAUUCGUGGUGUAGCGGUGAAAUGCUUAGAUAUCACGAAGAACUCCGAUUGCGAAGGCAGCUUACUACACUGCCACUGACAUUGAUGCUCGAAAGUGUGGGUAUCAAACAGGAUUAGAUACCCCAGUAGUC